This 491-nucleotide ribosomal RNA is filed under the name uncultured bacterium. RNAcentral describes it as "bacterial SSU rRNA". It matches the Rfam family "Bacterial small subunit ribosomal RNA", at positions 15 to 518 of the family's 1533-position model. The record is from RNAcentral.
GAUUCUGGCUCAGAACGAACGCUGGUGGCGUGUCUUAUACAUGCAAGUCGAGCGAGGCAGCAAUGCCGAGCGGCGAACGGGUGAGUAACGCGUAAGCAAUCUGCCCCAUAUCAGGAAAUACCCGUGCCAACGCGCGGUUAAUGUCCAGGAGAGUGGCCAGCUGCAUGGCUGGUUGACUAGAGAUUUAUCGGUAUGGGAUGAGCUUGCGUCCGAUUAGCUAGUUGGCGGGGCAACGGCCCACCAAGGCGACGAUCGGUAGCCGGCCUGAGAGGGUGAUCGGCCACAUUGGGACUGAGAUACGGCCCAGACUCCUACGGGAGGCAGCAGUAGGGAAUAUUGCACAAUGGGGGAAACCCUGAUGCAGCAACGCCACGUGUGGGAAGAAGCAUUUCGGUGUGUAAACCACUGUCAUGAGGGAAUAAGGCCCGCCUUCGGACGGGAUUGAAUGUACCUUGAGAGGAAGCACCGGCAAACUUCGUGCCAGCCGCCGC